This 403-nucleotide ribosomal RNA is filed under the name uncultured prokaryote. Its description in RNAcentral is "bacterial SSU rRNA". It matches the Rfam family "Bacterial small subunit ribosomal RNA", at positions 355 to 774 of the family's 1533-position model. The record is from RNAcentral.
UGAGGAAUAUUCCACAAUGGGGGAAACCCUGAUGGAGCGAUGCCGCGUGCAGGAAGACGCUUUUCGGAGUGUAAACUGCUUUUAAUAGGGAAGAUUAUGACGGUACCUAUAGAAAAAGGACCGGCUAACUACGUGCCAGCAGCCGCGGUAAUACGUAGGGUCCAAGCGUUAUUCGGAAUUACUGGGCGUAAAGCGUACGUAGGCGGUUUGGUAAGUUGGAUGUGAAAUCCCCCUGCUCAACGGGGUGGACUGUGUCCAAAACUACCUAACUAGAGCAUAGUAGAGGCAAGUGGAAUUUGCGGUGUAGGAGUGACAUCCGUAGAUAUCGCAAGGAACACCAAUGGCGAAGGCAGCUUGCUGGGCUAUUGCUGACGCUCAGGUACGAAAGCGUGGGGAGCGAACG